Molecule: ribosomal RNA, 468 nt
Filed under: uncultured bacterium
Lineage: Bacteria
Description: partial 16S ribosomal RNA
Rfam family: Bacterial small subunit ribosomal RNA
Source: RNAcentral
GACGAACGCUGGCGGCGUGCUUAACACAUGCAAGUCGAACGGAAAGGCCCUGCUUUUGUGGGGUGCUCGAGUGGCGAACGGGUGUGUAACACGUGAGUAACCUGCCCUUGACUUUGGGAUAACUUCAGGAAACUGGGGCUAAUACCGGAUAGGAGCUCCUGCUGCAUGGUGGGGGUUGGAAAGUUUCGGCGGUUGGGGAUGGACUCGCGGCUUAUCAGCUUGUUGGUGGGGUAGUGGCUUACCAAGGUUUUGACGGGUAGCCGGCCUGAGAGGGUGACCGGCCACAUGGGGACUGAGAUACGGCCCAGACGGCUACGGGAGGCAGCAGUGGGGAAUAUUGCACAAUGGGCGGAAGCCUGAUGCAGCAACGCCGCGUGCGGGAAGACGGCCUUCGGGUUGUAAACCGCUUUCGCCUGUGACGAAGCGUGAGUGACGGUAAUGGGUAAAGAAGCACCGGCUAACUACGUG